GAGGUUGUGGCUCAGAGGUAGAGCGCUUGCCUAUCAAGCAUGAGGCACUGGGUUCGAUCCUCAGCACCACA
Molecule: transfer RNA, 71 nt
Filed under: Marmota monax (woodchuck)
Lineage: Eukaryota; Metazoa; Chordata; Mammalia; Rodentia; Sciuridae
Description: tRNA.Asp
Rfam family: tRNA
About the family: Transfer RNA (tRNA) molecules are approximately 80 nucleotides in length. Their secondary structure includes four short double-helical elements and three loops (D, anti-codon, and T loops). Further hydrogen bonds mediate the characteristic L-shaped molecular structure. tRNAs have two regions of fundamental functional importance: the anti-codon, which is responsible for specific mRNA codon recognition, and the 3' end, to which the tRNAs corresponding amino acid is attached (by aminoacyl-tRNA synthetases). tRNAs cope with the degeneracy of the genetic code in two manners: having more than one tRNA (with a specific anti-codon) for a particular amino acid; and 'wobble' base-pairing, i.e. permitting non-standard base-pairing at the 3rd anti-codon position.
Source: RNAcentral